This 484-nucleotide ribosomal RNA is filed under the name uncultured bacterium. RNAcentral's name for it is "partial 16S ribosomal RNA". It matches the Rfam family "Bacterial small subunit ribosomal RNA", at positions 30 to 507 of the family's 1533-position model. The record is from RNAcentral.
AUUGAACGCUGGCGGCAGGCCUAACACAUGCAAGUCGAGCGGAUGAAGGGAGCUUGCUCCUGGCUUCAGCUGCGGACGGGUGAGUAAUGAAUAGGUAUCUGACUGAUCGUGGGGGAUAGCGUCAGUUAACGGGAGCUAAUACCGUAUACGUUAUGAGGGUGAACGUGGUGGAUCUUCAGUGCUAACGCUAUUAGCUGAGCCUAGGUCGGAUUAGCUAGUUGGUAGGGUAAAGGCCUACCAAGGCGACGAUCCGUAACUGGUCUGAGAGGAUGAUCAGUCACACUGGAACUGAGACACGGUCCAGACUCCUACGGGAGGCAGCAGUGGGGAAUAUUGGACAAUGGGCGAAAGCCUGAUGCAGCCAUGCCGCGUGAGUGAAGAAGGUCUUCGGAUUGUAAAGCUCUGUAAGUUGGGAAGAAGGACAGUAAGUGAAUACCUGGCUGUUUUGACGUUACCAACAGAGUAAGCACCGGCUAACUUCGUG